Molecule: ribosomal RNA, 497 nt
Filed under: uncultured bacterium
Lineage: Bacteria
Description: partial 16S ribosomal RNA
Rfam family: Bacterial small subunit ribosomal RNA
Source: RNAcentral
GACGAACGCUGGCGGCGUGCCUAAUACAUGCAAGUUGAGCGCUGAAGGUUGGUACUUGUACCAACUGGAUGAGCAGCGAACGGGUGAGUAACGCGUGGGGAAUCUGCCUUUGAGCGGGGGACAACAUUUGGAAACGAAUGCUAAUACCGCAUAAAAACUUUAAACACAAGUUUUAAGUUUGAAAGAGGCAAUUGCAUCACUCAAAGAUGAUCCCGCGUUGUAUUAGCUAGUUGGUGGGGUAAAGGCUCACCAAGGCGAUGAUACAUAGCCGACCUGGGAGGGUGAACGGCCACCAUGGGAAUGGGACACGGCCCAAACCCCUAAGGGGAGGAGCAGGAGGGGAACUUUGGCAAUGGAGGAAAGUCUGGACGAAGAACGGCGCGUGAGUGAAGAAGGGUUUCGGAUCGUAAAACUCUGUUGGUAGGGAAGAAAGUUGGUGAGAGUGGAAAGCUCAUCAAGUGACGGUAACUAACGAGAAAGGGACGGCUAACUACGUG